UGGUGGGGUAGAGGCGCGAAUGCAGAUAAGUACACACUUGGAGGAUGACAACGUAGAGAAGUGUGAAAAGGAUCAUUUGCCGAAGUGGAAAAGAGGAGUCAGACCUUUUCUGCUGGGGUUGCAUUGAAGAAGUGUAACACUGUCACAGUCAAUAGACUGUGGAGAACUACUGUUGUG
The sequence is a regulatory RNA element, 177 nucleotides long. It matches the Rfam family "Lysine riboswitch aptamer". From Rfam's summary of the family: Riboswitches are metabolite binding domains within certain messenger RNAs that serve as precision sensors for their corresponding targets. Allosteric rearrangement of mRNA structure is mediated by ligand binding, and this results in modulation of gene expression. The record is from Rfam.